Molecule: long non-coding RNA, 4685 nt
Organism: Mus musculus (house mouse)
Lineage: Eukaryota; Metazoa; Chordata; Mammalia; Rodentia; Muridae
Product: predicted gene, 50622
Exons: 2
Source: RefSeq, a predicted model, not a curated record
GUGAGGCGGCGAGCGGGCACCGGGGAUGGUUUCGCUGGGAGCCGGGCCUGUCAGCCCCGAGCCCGGGCGGGCGAGCGGGCACCCGGCCACCCCGCGGGGACCCCACCUCGGCUGUGCUGGCUGGCGGGGCGCACUCUCAGCUCUCGUCUCGCCCCGGGAGCGCCCCCACCUCCGUCCGCGCGCCGCGGCCCGCGGGCUUCGAGGCCUCGGUUCCGGACUAGGCCCCGACUCCCCGGCAUCCGCACGGCUCGGCUGCCGUUUACCCUCCUAGAGCGAAGGGAGGAGCAGCCUGGCCUUGAGCGGGGCAGCGGGCCGCACGGGCCGGGAGUCGCGGCCCCGCUCCGGACAGGGAUUCUGCCGGCUGGUCGGGGUGGCACCCUCGGAAGGAACAGGUUUUACUUUGUAGUUCAGACUGGCUCCCCAGUUCUUGGUAUUCCACCUACCUCAGCCUUCCAGUACUUGGAUAGCAGAUGUGAGCCACUGUGCUGAGCAGAGUCAGCUGUGUGCCUGUGUAUAUGCUCAUGCUGAAAUUGACUCCAGGGCUUUGAACAUUGCUAGGUAACUAUUCUCUACCACUGGGUUGCAUAUAUUCUCUCUCCUAAAAGAAAAAAAGAAAAGAAAAAAAAUCACUUUUUUUUUUAAUUUUGAGAGAGCCAUAAAGUUACAUACAGUUUGAGAAAUAAAACAUAUUCUUUGUAUACUUUUACAAAUUAGUAUCUUACAAGUCUUAUAGUUGAUUGUAACAUUGUUAGUGUUUACCAAUUUUACUAGUGUUUCCCAAGUUUUACUUGUAGUUGUGUGUUUAGUUCUCUGCAGUGCUAUUACACAGGUAGGUUCUGUCCUUACAGUCAAGAUAUAAGACAGUCUAUGGAAACACAGAGGAGCCCUAUACUGCCCUUUAGAACCACAUCCACCUAUGUUCUUCCCUUUCUCUCUAUUCUCACCUUCCAGCAACCAUGACUAAUGUGGCUCCUAUUUAUGUAAUUUAAAAAGAAUAUCUACUAAAGAGAAUCAUAAAGUAUAGAACUUACAGAUUGACAUUUCUUCCGUGCAGAAGAAUUUCCUUGUGGCUCACCCAAGUUUUCACUUGUAUCAGUAGUCUGUUCUAUUUUAUUGAAAAGUAAUAUUUGCAUUAUAGACUUAGUAGGGUUGGUACACCAUUUAUAGAAUAACGAUUCUUGGUCGUGAUGGGAUAAAAACCUUUAGUUUCAUUGCUAAAAUCACAGUACAAAAAGGAUUUAUUAUUUUCAAGCAUUUUAUUAAUGGAGCAUGGGUGUGUUUGUGAAUGUUGUAGAUGCCUUCCUCCUUCCUGCCAAGGCUCAUAUGUGUAGGCUAGAGAACAGUUUCAGGAAUUGGUUGUCUUUCUACCAAUUCUGUGGGUCUCAGAGAUUAAACUCAGGUCUUUAGAGGGGAAGCACCUUUAUACACUGAGACAAUUUGCUAGCCCACUAAAGGGUUUAUUGUGAUAAGACAUAAACAAGAAGAGUGUGUAAAUCACUAAAUGGAAGAAAAGGAGAUACAAUGUUUUUAUUGUUGACUGACAUUAGGAAUGAAGAAAAUGUUACCAAGCAAAGUAAUAGUUUUGUUUCAAAAUUGCAUCUGUUACAAUUUUUAUUGUGUUAGCUCUCUUGCUUUCUCUUUUACUUUUCUUUUUCUUUUUUUGAGAAGGGGUAGGGGUAGAGAUCAUGUCUCUCACAUAGUUUUGAUUGUCCUGCAACUCACUGUAUAGACCAGAAUGGACUCAAAUUGUUUGCCACCAUUUGAUUUUUAAGCUUUUCCCCACCUUUUCUUUUCUGGUCUGGUAAAGGAAAAGUUGGGCAUUCUCCAGUGCUAAAACUAAGUGUGGGUAGUUAAGUAUCACUUUGCAAAAUUUUGUAAUUUCUACGGUGUAUUUGCCUGACUUAGUUUAGUUUGUUUUGAUACCUACAUUAAUGUUUGCUGCAUAUUUGCCACCUCCUUUCCUGCACAGGAUUGAGUUUUCUGCAUAAGCAUUGUAAUAAAUUGAUAAAAAAUAUCUGCAAAAUUUUUGUCUCUAGUUCAUUUAGGGGAAAGAAGUUAAUUUUUUUUUUUAAAAGCUGGUAAGGUAAGCUGGGCAGUGGUGGUGCAUGCCUUUAAUCCCAGCACUUGGGAGGCAGAGGCAGGUAGAUUUCUGAGUUCGAGGCCAGCCUGGUUUACAGAGUGAGUUCCAGGACAGCCAGGGCUACACAGAUACACCCUGUCUCAAAAAAACAAAACAAAACAAAACAAAAUGAAGGUAAAUGUGAUGUUACAAAUAAAUAUAUAUUGUAUUGUGUAAGAUUUGCUUGAUUGCUUGCUAGUCUUUCCUUUUAAAUUUUCACAUGGUUUUAAUAUAUUUACAAGAUUAUGUAAUUAGGAAAUUGUGGUUUCUGCAUACGUACCUUUGUUGCUAUUUGUUCAUCCAGAUAGUUUGAGACUUGCUCAGAGCUUUACUCUCCUCUCCCCGACUCCUCUGCUCAUCUCUGGCUACCCCCACCCCCUUCAGUGUUUUGAGACAUGGUUUCUUUGUGUGACCCUGGCUGUCCUGGUACUCUUUCUGUAGUCCAGUCUGGCUUUGAAUUCAGAGAUCUGCUUGCUUCUGUCUCAGGAGUGCUGGGAUCAAAGGUGUGUGCCACCACCUAGCUUUAGCUCACUUUUUUGGGAUCUAGGGUUUAGGGUAGAAAAGGUGUUCUUGAAAGGUGUGGGCAAAACUCAUACCUAUACCGUUCAGCUCACUUGGAAAGUGGAAUGUCCUUAAUGCCUGCAAUCAGAUAUCAGCAUGCUGGUUGUUACACUGCUGCAUUUUUUUCUUUAACUUUUUAUCUACUAAUGUGCGUUAGGAGAAAAUAAAAUCUAAGUUGGAAUACUUAACUACUAUUAUUAUUUGAAUUUUAGUCUUGUCAGUUGGUUGAGCUUAGGACAAAAUAUUUCUUUUUUUUUUUAAAGAUUUAUUUUAUGUAUAUAAGUACACUGUAGCUGUCUUCAGACACACCAGAAGAGGGCAUCAGAUUCCAUUACAGAUGGUUGUGAGCCACCAUGUGGUUGCUGGGAUUUGAACUCAGGACCUUCGGAAGAGCAGUCCGUGCUCUUAACCGCUGAGCCAUCUCUCCAGCCCCAGGACAAAAUAUUUCUGUGUGAAGAAUUCAUAUCCUGGAGUCAUAGACAGCUGUGAGAGCCACCAUGUAGGUACUGGGAAUAGAACCUGACUUUCCUGGAAGAGAAACCAGUGCUCUUAACCACACUGAGCCAUCUCUCUGGCCCCAAAAGGAAGACGUUUAGUUUAAAUUUUUAUUUAUUUUGUGUAUGUGUGUGCACAUGCACGUGCACAUGCAUAAUACUGCAGUGGGAUAUGUGGUGAUCAGAGCCAGUUUGUGGCAGUUGGUUCUCUACUUUUACCACGUGGGUACUGGGGAUCAAACUCAGUUCAACAGGCUGGGCACCAGGCAUCUGUACCUACUGAGCUAUCCUGCUGGUGCCAUGCAGAUAUUGUUAUUAAGUAAACAGACUGAAGUUAAAGUAAGGUUUGCAGCUAGAGCUAGGAAUGAGGAACUAGACUUUACAUCAUUCAGGGAAGAAAGAUGAAAUAAACCCUUUUCUCCUCAGGUUGCUUCUGGUCAUGGUGUUUUAUCACAGCAAUAGAAACCCUUUCUAAGACAGCUCUCAAGUUCCUGUUGCCUACAGUUCCUUCUCUACAGUUAGCACUGUAACCUGGAAGUGUGAGCUAAAAUAAACCCUUUUCUCUCCCAAGUUGCAUCUGUCAUAUUUUAUUACAGCAAUAGGAAAUGAAAUUAGACAGGACACUAGUGAGUUAUAUGGGCUUAUUUAUUUUUACAUGAAGAAUUAAGUCUCUACUGAAUAUUUGCUACUGCAGAAUAUUGAAUACCUUUAGUGUUGUUUUUCAGAGUUGUCCUAAUCUUCAAGUCAAAAGUCAUCAAAUGAUUUUUUAAAUCGUAAAACUCAAGCCAGCAACUCAAUAGUUGUAACUAGUGAACCUUAGAUGGAGUGCACCAGGCAGUGUUAGUUGGUAUUAUGCAGCUUGAUGGUACAUGCAGCACAAUGGGUACACGCUGUGUGUUUGGAGCCAAGGCUGUUGCAGUGAGCUGUAGAACAUGAUGUAGAUGAACUUUGCCAGAAGUACCUUGGCUUACAUGUUUGAUUAUGAAUUAGUUUUUGCUUCUUGCACAUUCAGGACAUUUUUUUACUUUAUUUUUAUUUUAUGCGUGUUAAUGUUUUGCUGGCAUGCAUGUACAUGCAUCAAGUCUGGGCUUGGGUGAUUCCCUGGGACUGGGAUUAUUGAUGGUUGUGAGCUACCAUGUGGGUUCUGAGAAUUGAACUCAGGCAGGUCUUCUGUAAGAGCCACAAGUAAGUGCUCUUAACUGCUGGGCCAUCUAUCUCCAUCCCUAAGACAUUUUCAAUUGUUUUCCAACUCUCAAGGGUCAGUUAUAGCUAAAGACACUUAUGUCAGUGUCUUAAAGGGUUGGGACGGGUUUAAGAUGGUGUGGUUUAGGCCAGUGGUUUAGUAGGUAAAGGUGCCAAAUUUGAUGAUCAGCGUUUGAUUCCCAGAACACACAUGGUGAAAGGAGAGAAUAGAUAGAUUCUAAUAACUUGUCCUCUGACUUUAACAUGUGUGCUAUAGUAGUGUGCAAACACACACAAAAUAAAUAUAUUUAAAAUGUAAAAAAAAAAAA